RNAcentral lists this ribosomal RNA (884 nucleotides) under Tubakia japonica. Its description in RNAcentral is "eukaryotic LSU rRNA". It matches the Rfam family "Eukaryotic large subunit ribosomal RNA", at positions 36 to 949 of the family's 3401-position model. Lineage: Eukaryota; Fungi; Ascomycota; Sordariomycetes; Diaporthales; Tubakiaceae. The record is from RNAcentral.
UAGCAUAUCAAUAAGCGGAGGAAAAGAAACCAACAGGGAUUGCCCUAGUAACGGCGAGUGAAGCGGCAACAGCUCAAAUUUGAAAUCUGGCCUCGGCCCGAGUUGUAAUUUGCAGAGGAUGCUUUUGGUGCGGUGCCUUCCGAGUUCCCUGGAACGGGACGCCACAGAGGGUGAGAGCCCCGUAUGGUCGGACACCAAUCCUGUGUAAAGCUCCUUCGACGAGUCGAGUAGUUUGGGAAUGCUGCUCUAAAUGGGAGGUAAAUCUCUUCUAAAGCUAAAUACCGGCCAGAGACCGAUAGCGCACAAGUAGAGUGAUCGAAAGAUGAAAAGCACCUUGAAAAGGGGGUUAAACAGUACGUGAAAUUGUUGAAAGGGAAGCACUUGUGACCAGACUUGGGCCGGGCGGCUCAUCAGGGGUUCUCCCCUGUGCAUUCCGCCCGGUACAGGCCAGCAUCGGUUCUUACCGGGGGAUAAGAACGGCAGGAACGUGGCUCCCUCUCGGGGGAGUGUUAUAGCCUGCCGUACGAUACCCUGGCGGGGACCGAGGUUCGCGCUUCCGCAAGGAUGCUGGCGUAAUGGUUACUAGUGACCCGUCUUGAAACACGGACCAAGGAGUCGUCCAUUAGAGCGAGCGUUUGGGUGUAAAACCCGCACGCGUAAUGAAAGUGAAAUUAGGUGAGAGCUUCGGCGCAUCAUCGACCGAUCCUGAUGUUCUCGGAUGGAUUUGAGUAAGAGUUUUAACGGACGGACCCGAAAGACAGUGAACUAUGCUUGUAUAGGGUGAAGCCAGAGGAAACUCUGGUGGAGGCUCGCAGCGGUUCUGACGUGCAAAUCGAUCGUCAAAUAUGAGCAUGGGGGCGAAAGACUAAUCGAACUGUCUAGUA